GGGCGGAUACCGAAGUGGUCAAACGGGGCAGACUGUAAAUCUGCUGGCCUUGCGCCUUCGAAGGUUCGAUCCCUUCUCCGCCCACCA
RNAcentral lists this transfer RNA (87 nucleotides) under bacterium. Its description in RNAcentral is "tRNA-Tyr". It matches the Rfam family "tRNA". From Rfam's summary of the family: Transfer RNA (tRNA) molecules are approximately 80 nucleotides in length. Their secondary structure includes four short double-helical elements and three loops (D, anti-codon, and T loops). RNAcentral also lists the same sequence under 1 other name. The record is from RNAcentral.